This 467-nucleotide ribosomal RNA is filed under the name uncultured bacterium. RNAcentral's name for it is "partial 16S ribosomal RNA". It matches the Rfam family "Bacterial small subunit ribosomal RNA", at positions 28 to 506 of the family's 1533-position model. The record is from RNAcentral.
GACGAACGCUGGCGGCGUGCUUAACACAUGCAAGUCGAACGGAAAGGCCCUGCUUUUGUGGGGUGCUCGAGUGGCGAACGGGUGAGUAACACGUGAGUAACCUGCCCUUGACUUUGGGAUAACUUCAGGAAACUGGGGCUAAUACCGGAUAGGAGCUCCUGCUGCAUGGUGGGGGUUGGAAAGUUUCGGCGGUUGGGGAUGGACUCGCGGCUUAUCAGCUUGUUGGUGGGGUAGUGGCUUACCAAGGCUUUGACGGGUAGCCGGCCUGAGAGGGUGACCGGCCAAAUUGGGACUGGGAUACGGCCCAGCCUCCUAGGGGGGGCAGCGGGGGGGAAUAUUGCACAAGGGGCGGAAGCCUGAUGCGGCAACGCCGCGGGCGGGAUGAGGGCCUUGGGGUUGUAAACCGCUUUCGCCUGUGACGAAGCGUGAGUGACGGUAAUGGGUAAAGAAGCACCGGCUAACUACGU